RNAcentral lists this ribosomal RNA (497 nucleotides) under uncultured bacterium. RNAcentral's name for it is "partial 16S ribosomal RNA". It matches the Rfam family "Bacterial small subunit ribosomal RNA", at positions 28 to 507 of the family's 1533-position model. The record is from RNAcentral.
GAUGAACGCUGGCGGCGUGCCUAAUACAUGCAAGUCGAGCGAACGGACGAGAAGCUUGCUUCUCUAAUGUUAGCGGCGGACGGGUGAGUAACACGUGGAUAACCUACCUAUAAGACUGGGAUAACUUCGGGAAACCGUAGCUAAUACCGGAUAAUAUUUUGAACCGCAUGGUUCAAAAGUGAAAGACGGUCUUGCUGUCACUUAUAGAUGGAUCCGCGCUGCAUUAGCUAGUUGGUAAGGUAACGGCUUACCAAGGCAACGGUGCAUAGCCGACCUGAGAGGGUGAUCGGCCACACUGGAACUGAGACACGGUCCAGACACCUACGGGAGGCAGCAGUAGGGAAUCUUCCGCAAUGGGCGAAAGCCUGACGGAGCAACGCCGCGUGAGUGAUGAAGGUCUUCGGAUCGUAAAACUCUGUUAUUAGGGAAGAACAUAUGUGUAAGUAACUGUGCACAUCUUGACGGUACCUAAUCAGAAAGCCACGGCUAACUACGUG